AUGGCCGGCCUAGGGGAACGUCGUGUUCCAGGCGGCGGCGAUGUCGGCCGCCGCGCCUCCUCCUCCGCCUCGCGCUGCUCCUCCUCGGCGUCGUGCUCCAGCUGCUCGAGGUACUCACCCUCGCAGCGCUCCUCGGCCAGUUGUCGCGAGCGCCAUUGCUCGAGGGCGAGUCGCUGCUCUGCCUCAUUUCGGCAGUACAACGGCGCCGUGUCUAUCGUCUGGUCGCCCCUCCUGGUGAAGGUCGUCGAGAAGGUGGAGCACGCCGACGGCCAGCACAAGAACGUGUUCUUGGACUCAGUUCGACGACGGUGGAUGUCACAGCUGGGCGCAUUCGACGCGGCCGUCCAGUCUGUCGGGCACUAG
Molecule: ribosomal RNA, 363 nt
Filed under: Triticum aestivum (bread wheat)
Lineage: Eukaryota; Viridiplantae; Streptophyta; Magnoliopsida; Poales; Poaceae
Description: partial small subunit ribosomal RNA
Source: RNAcentral